GAUGAAGGACGUUACUAACGACGAUAUGCUUUGGGGAGCUGUAAGUAAGCUUUGAUCCAGAGAUUUCCGAAUGGGGAAACCCAGCAUGAGUUAUGUCAUGUUAUCGAUAUGUGAAUACAUAGCAUAUCAGAAGGCACACCCGGAGAACUGAAACAUCUUAGUACCCGGAGGAAGAGAAAGAAAAUUCGAUUCCCUUAGUAGCGGCGAGCGAAACGGGAAGAGCCCAAACCAACAAGCUUGCUUGUUGGGGUUGUAGGACACUCUAUACGGAGUUACAAAGGACGACAUUAGACGAAUCAUCUGGAAAGAUGAAUCAAAGAAGGUAAUAAUCCUGUAGUCGAAAAUGUUGUCUCUCUUGAGUGGAUCCUGAGUACGACGGAGCACGUGAAAUUCCGUCGGAAUCUGGGAGGACCAUCUCCUAAGGCUAAAUACUCUCUAGUGACCGAUAGUGAACCAGUACCGUGAGGGAAAGGUGAAAAGCACCCCGGAAGGGGAGUGAAAUAGAACCUGAAACCGUGUGCUUACAAGUAGUCAGAGCCCGUUAAUGGGUGAUGGCGUGCCUUUUGUAGAAUGAACCGGCGAGUUACGAUUUGAUGCAAGGUUAAGCAGUAAAUGUGGAGCCGUAGCGAAAGCGAGUCUGAAUAGGGCGUUUAGUAUUUGGUCGUAGACCCGAAACCAGGUGAUCUACCCUUGGUCAGGUUGAAGUUCAGGUAACACUGAAUGGAGGACCGAACCGACUUACGUUGAAAAGUGAGCGGAUGAACUGAGGGUAGCGGAGAAAUUCCAAUCGAACCUGGAGAUAGCUGGUUCUCUCCGAAAUAGCUUUAGGGCUAGCCUCAAGUGAUGAUUAUUGGAGGUAGAGCACUGUUUGGACGAGGGGCCCCUCUCGGGUUACCGAAUUCAGACAAACUCCGAAUGCCAAUUAAUUUAACUUGGGAGUCAGAACAUGGGUGAUAAGGUCCGUGUUCGAAAGGGAAACAGCCCAGACCACCAGCUAAGGUCCCAAAAUAUAUGUUAAGUGGAAAAGGAUGUGGCGUUGCCCAGACAACUAGGAUGUUGGCUUAGAAGCAGCCAUCAUUUAAAGAGUGCGUAAUAGCUCACUAGUCGAGUGACACUGCGCCGAAAAUGUACCGGGGCUAAACAUAUUACCGAAGCUGUGGAUUGUCCUUUGGACAAUGGUAGGAGAGCGUUCUAAGGGCGUUGAAGCAUGAUCGUAAGGACAUGUGGAGCGCUUAGAAGUGAGAAUGCCGGUGUGAGUAGCGAAAGACGGGUGAGAAUCCCGUCCACCGAUUGACUAAGGUUUCCAGAGGAAGGCUCGUCCGCUCUGGGUUAGUCGGGUCCUAAGCUGAGGCCGACAGGCGUAGGCGAUGGAUAACAGGUUGAUAUUCCUGUACCACCUAUAAUCGUUUUAAUCGAUGGGGGGACGCAGUAGGAUAGGCGAAGCGUGCGAUUGGAUUGCACGUCUAAGCAGUAAGGCUGAGUAUUAGGCAAAUCCGGUACUCGUUAAGGCUGAGCUGUGAUGGGGAGAAGACAUUGAGUCUUCGAGUCGUUGAUUUCACACUGCCGAGAAAAGCCUCUAGAUAGAAAAUAGGUGCCCGUACCGCAAACCGACACAGGUAGUCAAGAUGAGAAUUCUAAGGUGAGCGAGCGAACUCUCGUUAAGGAACUCGGCAAAAUGACCCCGUAACUUCGGGAGAAGGGGUGCUCUUUAGGGUUAACGCCCAGAAGAGCCGCAGUGAAUAGGCCCAAGCGACUGUUUAUCAAAAACACAGGUCUCUGCUAAACCGUAAGGUGAUGUAUAGGGGCUGACGCCUGCCCGGUGCUGGAAGGUUAAGAGGAGUGGUUAGCUUCUGCGAAGCUACGAAUCGAAGCCCCAGUAAACGGCGGCCGUAACUAUAACGGUCCUAAGGUAGCGAAAUUCCUUGUCGGGUAAGUUCCGACCCGCACGAAAGGCGUAACGAUUUGGGCACUGUCUCAACGAGAGACUCGGUGAAAUCAUAGUACCUGUGAAGAUGCAGGUUACCCGCGACAGGACGGAAAGACCCCGUGGAGCUUUACUGUAGCCUGAUAUUGAAAUUCGGCACAGCUUGUACAGGAUAGGUAGGAGCCUUUGAAACGUGAGCGCUAGCUUACGUGGAGGCGCUGGUGGGAUACUACCCUAGCUGUGUUGGCUUUCUAACCCGCACCACUUAUCGUGGUGGGAGACAGUGUCAGGCGGGCAGUUUGACUGGGGCGGUCGCCUCCUAAAAGGUAACGGAGGCGCUCAAAGGUUCCCUCAGAAUGGUUGGAAAUCAUUCAUAGAGUGUAAAGGCAUAAGGGAGCUUGACUGCGAGACCUACAAGUCGAGCAGGGUCGAAAGACGGACUUAGUGAUCCGGUGGUUCCGCAUGGAAGGGCCAUCGCUCAACGGAUAAAAGCUACCCCGGGGAUAACAGGCUUAUCUCCCCCAAGAGUUCACAUCGACGGGGAGGUUUGGCACCUCGAUGUCGGCUCAUCGCAUCCUGGGGCUGUAGUCGGUCCCAAGGGUUGGGCUGUUCGCCCAUUAAAGCGGUACGCGAGCUGGGUUCAGAACGUCGUGAGACAGUUCGGUCCCUAUCCGUCGUGGGCGUAGGAAAUUUGAGAGGAGCUGUCCUUAGUACGAGAGGACCGGGAUGGACAUACCUCUGGUGUACCAGUUGUCGUGCCAACGGCAUAGCUGGGUAGCUAUGUGUGGACGGGAUAAGUGCUGAAAGCAUCUAAGCAUGAAGCCCCCCUCAAGAUGAGAUUUCCCAACUUCGGUUAUAAGAUCCCUCAAAGAUGAUGAGGUUAAUAGGUUCGAGGUGGAAGCAUGGUGACAUGUGGAGCUGACGAAUACUAA
Molecule: ribosomal RNA, 2856 nt
Filed under: Staphylococcus aureus
Lineage: Bacteria; Bacillati; Bacillota; Bacilli; Caryophanales; Staphylococcaceae
Description: partial 23S ribosomal RNA
Rfam family: Bacterial large subunit ribosomal RNA
Source: RNAcentral